RNAcentral lists this ribosomal RNA (468 nucleotides) under uncultured bacterium. RNAcentral describes it as "partial 16S ribosomal RNA". It matches the Rfam family "Bacterial small subunit ribosomal RNA", at positions 36 to 507 of the family's 1533-position model. The record is from RNAcentral.
UCCUCCCUCUGGCGGCGUGCUUAACACAUGCAAGUCGAACGGAAAGGCCCUGCUUUUGUGGGGUGCUCGAGUGGCGAACGGGUGAGUAACACGUGAGUAACCUGCCCUUGACUUUGGGAUAACUUCAGGAAACUGGGGCUAAUACCGGAUAGGAGCUCCUGCUGCAUGGUGGGGGUUGGAAAGUUUCGGCGGUUGGGGAUGGACUCGCGGCUUAUCAGCUUGUUGGUGGGGUAGUGGCUUACCAAGGCUUUGACGGGUAGCCGGCCUGAGAGGGUGACCGGCCACAUUGGGACUGAGAUACGGCCCAGACUCCUACGGGAGGCAGCAGUGGGGAAUAUUGAACAAUGGGCAGAAGCCUGAUGCAGCAACGCCGCGUGCGGGAUGACGGCCUUCGGGUUGUAAACCGCUUUCGCCUGUGACGAAGCGUGAGUGACGGUAAUGGGUAAAGAAGCACCGGCUAACUACGUG